GGAGCAGUUUCAUGGAAUGAUAACAAGUAAGAGAAGAAAGAAGGGCAAGCAUAAGAUAGACUUGAGUUGCAGUUGGGAAAUUGGAACCACAGCUAUCAGCAUAGACCCAGAAGGGGCACACUUGUACAUAGAAACCACAUGUUGUAAUGGAAAACUAAGUUGCAAAUGGAAUCUGAAGAACUCAGCCCAAAUCUCAGCCACGAGAUAAAGAGGAAAUAAUGGUUUGCUGGCUUGGGAAAGAAAGGUAAGAGAGUUCCUUUUCUUUUUUUAAAGUUUAUUUUGAAAGAGAACACGUGCGCAUGCACACAAGUCGGAGAGAGACAGAGAGAGGGAG
Long non-coding RNA from Felis catus (domestic cat), 334 nucleotides. RefSeq lists it as uncharacterized. Lineage: Eukaryota; Metazoa; Chordata; Mammalia; Carnivora; Felidae. The transcript has 3 exons. The record is from RefSeq and is a predicted model, not a curated record.